CAGGUGGAAUCCAAGACGGACAACAAAGAUCUGGAGAUGUCUAGUGUCUCUGUGCAUCCAUCAACUUCAUCAGCCAUGGACUCUGAUACACAUGCAUUAUUUGACUCCACUAGCAAUGACUACACCUCUUUGGUACUUUUACUGAUUGUUAGAUUGCUGUCAAUGAUCACCCCUAUCACAUUACUGGAAUCCUCCGACAUUGGUGAAACAUCAAGAGUUCUCACAAAGAGGAUUCUGUCUGAGUUCUGUGGCACCUCAGGCCCUGAACAAACUCAAGCCUACCCCCAGAAUCUGAAAUUCAAAGAGAUUUUCAAGGCUGUCUACAUGGGGCUUCUUCAAGAAUUCGGGUCAGAGAAGAUGCUCCAGGUUGCAAUGAAGUCAACGGAUUAUGCAUUUGACGAUGCCCUGGUCAAAUCAUUAACUAGGGAACUACUAGCUAAAUGCAAUGAGGCUAGCUCUUCACCUCCCUCCAUGACCCAGUUGUCAUCACACAAUGCACUUGGCAGUGACGAGGUAGGUCAUUCUGCGCUUCCAACAACUGGUAGAAAGGAAAAGAAGAGAGGAAGAUUCAGCGCUCUCUGUGGACUCAACCCAAAGGUACAUAUGUCAUCAAAAUACAAAUGAUAAAGAUUAUUUUUAUUCAUUACGUACAGUAUGAUGGUAAACACUGAUACCCUUUGUGUGCAAUUUCUCCUACUGUAUAAAUGACUGUUUGUUACCCAGUGUACAAAGAAGGACAACAAAAAGAACCACUGCACUCCAACACCUUCCCAGAACCAGACCCCUGCCGUCAGUGAAACAGCAAUUGUCAAUGAUCAAGAAUCCUGCCGAACAGAGAGUGUAUGCUCCACCAAGAAGAAACCAAGGAAGCGUUCGCUCAUUUCCAGGAUGUUUUCAGCUAUAGGCAAAGCCUUGUCCAGUCCCUUUACUUCCUGCUAUAAAAAGAAGAGCACCUAAUCUAUAUUUCAAAAUAAAUAUUUGAAAUUAACAUAA
Oncorhynchus masou masou (cherry salmon) is the source of this 993-nucleotide long non-coding RNA. RefSeq lists it as uncharacterized. The transcript has 2 exons. The record is from RefSeq and is a predicted model, not a curated record. Lineage: Eukaryota; Metazoa; Chordata; Actinopteri; Salmoniformes; Salmonidae.